Molecule: ribosomal RNA, 251 nt
Filed under: uncultured bacterium
Lineage: Bacteria
Description: partial 16S ribosomal RNA
Rfam family: Bacterial small subunit ribosomal RNA
Source: RNAcentral
AGUCGAGCGAGGUAGCAAUACCUAGCGGCAGACGGGUGCGUAACAUGUGGGAAUCUGCCUUUUGGUUCGGAACAACACGGGGAAACCUGUGCUAAUACCGGAUAAGUCCUUACGGAGAAAGUUUUAAUGCCAAAAGAUGAGCCCGCAUUUGAUUAGCUAGUUGGUAGUGUAAUGGACUACCAAGGCAACGAUCAGUAACUGGUCUGAGAGGACGAUCAGUCACACUGGAACUGAGACACGGUCCAGACUCC